GACAUGUAGGGCGGGGAGCUCAGUACCAUAUAUCAGCACGGGGGAGGAGGCUAAACUGGACUCGUGGGUCCGGAGCAUCUGACGUGGAACUGAAAAAUAAAGAAUGGGAUGCCAGGGCGGGAAGGUGAAGGGCAUAUAAUCCCAGCCUUGUUUUAAGCAGGAGUUCUCUGCCACUCAGGGCAUCUACGGUUACCCAGCGACCUACCCCAGCUGGGACCCAGGCUUGCUCACCUCCUCAGCCCAGCUCACUCUCGGUUUGGGGGGUCGUUUGGUCCUUCGGGACUCAAAGGGGGCUCUGUUCUUAGUGAUGCCUUUCCGUGACUUUGACGGAUGCCAUCAGCUGAAAGAGGGCUCGGGGGGGGCAAAAGCCACACAAGAAUGAUGCCACAGGCAGCCCCUGGGGACCCAGACCAGCCUUGGUGCCUGGCCAAGGGACCGCCGGCAGCAUCUUUCCGGGGGCUCCCCCUCUCUCCCUCAUCAGCUGGCCCAUCCCUCAGUUUCCUCAUCCAGAGAAGGGAUGCGUGAUCCCAGGAGGAGGCCUCCGAUGAUGUCAAGUGGGUGGAGGAAAUUACGAAACAAGGUACUUUGAGCCUCCCAGCGGGAAAUUGGGGUAAAUUCCUGAUAUCCGGUACUGCGUGCUUUUCUUGGUAGAGGCAUAAUUGAGGCAAGGUGGCAAAUGGUGCAAAACAGGCCCUCCUGGGGGACCUAGCAGGCUGCUAGUGACUGGAUGAUGGGGGGUGGUCUCCAGCCAGCCCCCACUUCCUGGGCCCCCUCUGAGCCUCAGUUUCUCCUUCUAGGAGGAGCAGGCUGGAUGUGACGGCUGCAGACACCUGCUGGCUUUCAGGAGAUUCCUCUCUGCUCCACCACAGGUGAGGAUGGGGGACACAGAAAAAAGGCCCCUUGUCAUUUUCUUGCCAGGAGAGAAAGGAAGGUGAGUCGUCCACAAGCUUGGCCCCAAGUGGAGCUUAAGGAGUCGCAGCUGGGAGGCCAUAUGGGGAAGUGCGUGGGUGGCUCGGCCUUUCCUGCCUCUCACUCUCGGUCGGGCCAAGUUCAGGAGAGUCCUCCUUUUCCCCCUGCCAGAGUAUCGGCUCACCACCCCCUCCUUUCUGCCUGCCCCUUCCCUCCCUCCAGACAGCAGGCAGCCCAGCUCCGUGGCAGGGCAGCAAGCCUCACUGUGGGAAGGGGACCGCCUCGGGUCUCCCCAGUGUCUGGGGGGUCUGCUGCUAAUUGGAUUGUAAAAGAUGAUCCCUCUGCACAGCUGUCUGCAAGCCAGGCCCCAGUGACACAGGGUAAAUUAAAUACAGACAAUGGGGCGGGGUUACCUGCUGAAGCUCUGUGCCAGGCUCAGACCCCAGAAGUCAGAGAGGACGGUGGCACUGAGAUGGGAGAGGAGCUGAGGCAAGGAGGAACCUCACCAAGUGCCCCAUCGGGCGCUGAGAUGGCCCCUCCCCUGCAGGCCUGCUCACAGCCCCUGGCCCUGGGCAUCUGGAAAUCAAAGCGUCCUGACCCUCUUUACCACAAUGCUCCCUGGGGCUGCUGAGCAGCUGAGCUGAGGAUGCCCUGGGCCUGCCAUCCCAUGAGGGCCCCCCCUUGCAGAGUGGAGCCCAUGGCCGGGUCCUGCUGCCCACCAUGGACUCUCACUCAGUCAUUCAAGCAUCACUUAUCCACUCAGAAUAUCCAGCAGUCUGUCUCUAAGCUGAGCACUAGGAAUAAAGAGAUGGUGUGGACAAGGCGGCAGCUCUCCUCCCACGUUUGCCACCCCAUCCACCCCGCCCCCCCGGCCAGAGUAAUAGAACUGAUUUCAGCUGGCACAUGUUCACCCACAAUGAAAGCUACAUCUUCCAGCCUCCCUUGCAGCUAGACAUGGCCAUGUGAUUACACUCUGGCCAAUCAGAUGAAGCAGAGUGUGGCGGCCCUUCCUUCAAACAACAACACAGUUGAUCCUGGCUUUCUGCCCUUCCCUCUCAGAGAUCUUCUUUCCUGCUGACUGGGAUGGAGAUGUAAGGGCCGGUGCUGAAGUGGCCACCGUGAGCAAGGUGGCUCUGGACAAAGAGGACCUAUGUGGUAGGUUAAUCAACCUCAUCCUGAGGUCAUUAUGAAGGAGCAGACCAGCCCUGACCUGCCUGACUCCAAACAGGUGUGGAAAAAAAAAAGCAAAACUGCCUUCUUUAAGCAACUGUUACUUUGGGUUUCUAUCAUUUCCAGCUGAAGAUAAUUAAAACCUACACAAGUGAUGACCCUGCAACAGGAGCAUCAGCCUUGGCUACACAGAGGGGACACGUGGCCCAGUCUCGGGGAUUAGGGGCAGCUGUGCAUGGCUGCAACCUGCAGGGUGUGCUGACUGGGAGAGGCAGGUUGGCGGGGUUCAGUGGAGGCAUUUCAGGAAGAAGGAAGUCCAGAGGGAGCUUAGUGUGUUUGGGGAGGCACUGGGUCCUUCAGGGAGGUGGGGACCCCCUGCCCUGAAGAUAAUUAAAACCUACACAAUGAAUUGCAGGACACUCAGAUAGAACAGAAGCUAGCCUCCAUUUCAAGCCUCGCUGUUUCCCCAUCACACGUUCUGGUUAUCGCCGGACAAGUUCCUCACUUGUAAGACCAGCAAAGACAGUUACUCAACCCAAGAUGCUUAAGGAAGCCCCCCAGGAUCAACGUGGUCACCCCAUCCUGCUGCCCUGAGGGUCGUCCAGUUCGGCAGACACUGGCCCAGUGCCUCCUGCUCCUGGCACUGGGAAUGCCAAGAGGCUUCAAGGUGACCACUGCCCUCGCAGCCAUCCUUGGUCAGAGGGUGUCCAGCCACGUCCGACAGCAGGCUCAGCCCGACGAUGGGCGUGGUGUGCAGGACGGUCCACGGGCCUCCACCCGGGAACUCCGUGGUAAAGAUGUGACUCAGGAAACAGGAGUGAGCGGCCACGCUCAGGCCACCUCCGAUGCCUUCUUCUCCGUGGAUCAUUGAAUUACAUGCAUAUUUCAGUGAAGAUGAUUAUCUCCUUGCUGGUUUCGGAAGAUGUAUUUAGGGGAGGUAUUUCAAUUCUGUUGUCAUUUAAAACUAAAAAUCAAAACAUCAUUUUUGAUGUCCAGGGUUCUUUCUUCCGCCGAAAUACACACUGUGGUGUGUUACAAUCAUGUCUCCACCAUUUGCGCCUUAGAUGUACUUGUAGAGAGGAGCAAAGGGGCUCUAAAUCACUUGCACAUUUCAUGUUGACAGCGUCCCACGCUAGCACGACGGAUGGGAAGGGAGGCUCCAGCUUGGCUUUUAAUACUGGUGACCCAGGCUCACCCACUCACAGGCGCUCCCCACCUGAUCUCAGUGGCAGCUGCUCUUCCGCCCUCUACUCCGUGGACUCGGUGUGCUUAAAAGUUGUACAGGGUGAAUGGGAGUCUUUGGCUUUUCCAAGUGAGCCUCCCCGCCUAGGCAGGACGAGCUGCCUUCCAAUUCCUUGGGCAGGUGAUGACAACCAGAGCUAACUGACACUUACUGAGCACAUACUGUGCACCAGGUCCUUGUCUAAAUGCUCUCUGUUCCCUGAUGGGUUUGACUGUCCUAAUAACCCCAAUCCAGGUUGCUGGGAUUAAAUCCCAGUUCUGCUGAGCUGUGUGACUCUGGGCAAAUACUAAACCUCUCUGUGCCUCAGAAGGAUCCAUGGAGAAAGUAGCAGGGCCAGAAGGGAUUACAUCUGCAGUGCUCUUAAGAGG
Long non-coding RNA from Bos taurus (domestic cattle), 3690 nucleotides. The record is from Ensembl. Lineage: Eukaryota; Metazoa; Chordata; Mammalia; Artiodactyla; Bovidae.